GAUGAAGAACGUAGUGAAAUGCGAUAAGUAAUGUGAAUUGCAGAAUUCAGUGAAUCAUCGAAUCUUUGAACGCACAUUGCGCCCUCUGGUAUUCCGGAGGGCAUGCCUGUUCGAGCGUCAUUUCACCACUCAAGCCUGGCUUGGUAUUGGGCGCCGCGGUGUUCCGCGCGCCUCAAAGUCUCCGGCUGAGCUGUCCGUCUCCAAGCGUUGUGAUUUCAUUAAUCGCUUCGGAGUGCGGGCGGCCGCGGCCGUUAAAUCUUUCACAAGGUUGACCUCGGAUCAGGUAGGGAUACCCGCUGAACUUAAGCAUAUCAAUAAGCGGAGGA
Molecule: unclassified non-coding RNA, 326 nt
Filed under: soil metagenome
Description: partial contains 5.8S ribosomal RNA, internal transcribed spacer 2, and large subunit ribosomal RNA
Rfam family: 5.8S ribosomal RNA (bases 1-120)
Source: RNAcentral